UCAGACGAUGCGUCAUGCAUAUCAAUAAGCGGAGGAAAAGAAACUAACAAGGAUUCCCCUAGUAACGGCGAGUGAAGCGGGAAGAGCUCAAAUUUGAAAUCUUAAAGGGUUUCCCUUUACGAAUUGUAGUUUAAAGAAGUGUUUUCUGUUGAGGUUUUGGUAAAAGUUCUUUGGAAUAGGACAUCAUAGAGGGUGAGAAUCCCGUAUUUGACCUUUACUUUCAACUUUGUGAUACACUUUCAAAGAGUCGGAUUGUUUGGGAAUGCAGUCCAAAAUGGGUGGUAAAUUUCAUCUAAAGCUAAAUAUUGGCGAGAGACCGAUAGCGAACAAGUACCGUGAGGGAAAGAUGAAAAGAACUUUGAAAAGAGAGUUAAACAGUACGUGAAAUUGUCAAAAGGGAAGCGUUUGACACCAGUGUUGUUUUUCUGAAAAUCAAUUAAAGAACUGUAUAUGCUAAGUUGUUUAGACUUUAUCAGCUAACUGUUUAGUUUUGAGCUUUUCUUUAAUGCACUUUUCAGUUAACAAGUCAACAUCAAUUUCUUUUGCUGUAAAAAAGCUUGAGGAAGGUGGCUUGAGAUUCGUCUUAAGUGUUUAUAGCCUCUUGCCUAUGCAGUCGGAGAGAUUGAGGUCUGCAGCGUAGAUCCUUCGGGGCUAAAUGCAUUUGUGCUAAGUUAUAGCAUUUUAUAGACAACUUGUUGACUAUGAUUUGUCUUGUAGCUUACUCGCUUAUGUUAUUUUACCUACGCUUAGGAUGUUGAAUCUGUGCGAGACUAC
Molecule: ribosomal RNA, 774 nt
Filed under: uncultured Neocallimastigales
Lineage: Eukaryota; Fungi; Neocallimastigomycota; Neocallimastigomycetes; Neocallimastigales
Description: partial large subunit ribosomal RNA
Rfam family: Eukaryotic large subunit ribosomal RNA
Source: RNAcentral